Molecule: small RNA, 20 nt
Filed under: Arabidopsis thaliana (thale cress)
Lineage: Eukaryota; Viridiplantae; Streptophyta; Magnoliopsida; Brassicales; Brassicaceae
Description: ATSL296290
Source: RNAcentral
CCUGCGACGCAACAUAAACC